UUGCCCUAUUAACUCGUACAAUUUUUGAUUUUUCAUACAAGUAUAAAAUAUAUGAACUCAUAUAAGUUGCAAUUUUAUACAUUUUUGCUUCCGUGAGGUGUGUGUGGCGUAAAACAUUUGUAUAUUUGCACAUUUUUGAAAAUCGGAACUUGUAUGGAAAUCUUUAAACUAAGUUAGGUGAACUUAGUACUUGUAUUGAAAUCUUAGUUAAUGCUAAGUUAGGUCAGCUUAGUAGUUACUACUUGUAUUAAAAAUCAUACAUUUACUAACUAAUUCAUGUAUGUAAAGCGAGUUAAUAAAUUCUGUUAGUACCUGUAUGAAAUAUUAUUAUUUCUUAUACGAGUUCACAAAAUUGAUAUUUGUAUGAGUUAAGUAUAAGUUAUACGAGUUGAAUAAAUUAGUACUUGUAUGAAUGAUAUGAACUUGUAUGAGUUAGUAAAUUUAAUACUUGUAAGAAAACUUAUGAUAAGAGGUAAUAUAAAUUUUUUACUUGUAUGAAAAUUUGCAACUUGUACUAGAAGUUAAUAAAAUUUGUACUUGUAUGGAAAGCUAUAACUAACUUGUACGAGUUACUGAACUUAUUACUUGUAUGAAGUUAAUGAACUUAUAUGAGUUGAUAAAUUUUAUACUUGUAUGAAAAAAUUUCCACUUAUUUUUAUAUUAGUUGUGUGAUGAUAAUAAAUUUUGAAUUACCUGUAUGAGAUUUUAAUAUUGUAUGAGAAUUUAAUACUCGUACGAAAAUUUAGAACUUGUAUGAGUUUAUAAUAUUAGUACUUGUAUGAAAUAUUUAAACUUGUAUGAGUUUGAUAGAUUUAAUACAUGUAUGAAAAAUUUUAAAUGAAUUUAUAGUACAUAUUUAAGUAUUUCCAUGCAAAGUUUUGUUUUAAUUGUGUUUUUAAUCCUGGUCUUA
This 910-nucleotide unclassified non-coding RNA is filed under the name Rhagoletis pomonella (apple maggot). RNAcentral's name for it is "partial intergenic spacer". The record is from RNAcentral. Lineage: Eukaryota; Metazoa; Arthropoda; Insecta; Diptera; Tephritidae.